CGAAGAGGAAUAAGAAGAUAUUCCCGAGGCUAAUACUUCGGAGGAUGAGGAUGACCAUGAAGUUGACGAUGAUGAGGAUGGUGAUGAUGAGUGAUGGCUUUGGAAGGACCUCCCCCUUUUGGAACUUGAUGCUAAAGGGGGAGUGAGCUCACCAUGGAUGUGUAAUCUUCUAGGAGUUUUCUAGUUUAUGGCUUGUGGACAUGUAAGAACUCUAUGUGUGGUGUGAUGAAUGGUGUGCCAAGUGAAUUUUUAAGUUUGUAAGACUUAUUUGUGAUUUGCUAUGUUACUAUGGAUUUAAAUCUCUAUUCAUUUGUGUUGAUCAUGGCUUGGUGUAUUGUUGAAUUUCCACUUUGUUGAAGUGCUACAUCUUGUCAUAUGCAUCACAUUGAUAUACAUAUCACACCUUUGCACCCCACAAAUGCAAGGAUAUAGGGGGAGCUCACUUAAC
Molecule: long non-coding RNA, 448 nt
Filed under: Setaria viridis
Lineage: Eukaryota; Viridiplantae; Streptophyta; Magnoliopsida; Poales; Poaceae
Description: long non-coding RNA (SVIR_LNC004465)
Source: RNAcentral